This 841-nucleotide ribosomal RNA is filed under the name Acinetobacter junii. RNAcentral describes it as "bacterial SSU rRNA". It matches the Rfam family "Bacterial small subunit ribosomal RNA", at positions 97 to 933 of the family's 1533-position model. Lineage: Bacteria; Pseudomonadati; Pseudomonadota; Gammaproteobacteria; Moraxellales; Moraxellaceae. The record is from RNAcentral.
GGCGGACGGGUGAGUAAUGCUUAGGAAUCUGCCUAUUAGUGGGGGACAACAUUCCGAAAGGAAUGCUAAUACCGCAUACGUCCUACGGGAGAAAGCAGGGGAUCUUCGGACCUUGCGCUAAUAGAUGAGCCUAAGUCGGAUUAGCUAGUUGGUGGGGUAAAGGCCUACCAAGGCGACGAUCUGUAGCGGGUCUGAGAGGAUGAUCCGCCACACUGGGACUGAGACACGGCCCAGACUCCUACGGGAGGCAGCAGUGGGGAAUAUUGGACAAUGGGGGGAACCCUGAUCCAGCCAUGCCGCGUGUGUGAAGAAGGCCUUAUGGUUGUAAAGCACUUUAAGCGAGGAGGAGGCUACUGAGACUAAUACUCUUGGAUAGUGGACGUUACUCGCAGAAUAAGCACCGGCUAACUCUGUGCCAGCAGCCGCGGUAAUACAGAGGGUGCGAGCGUUAAUCGGAUUUACUGGGCGUAAAGCGUGCGUAGGCGGCUUUUUAAGUCGGAUGUGAAAUCCCCGAGCUUAACUUGGGAAUUGCAUUCGAUACUGGGAAGCUAGAGUAUGGGAGAGGAUGGUAGAAUUCCAGGUGUAGCGGUGAAAUGCGUAGAGAUCUGGAGGAAUACCGAUGGCGAAGGCAGCCAUCUGGCCUAAUACUGACGCUGAGGUACGAAAGCAUGGGGAGCAAACAGGAUUAGAUACCCUGGUAGUCCAUGCCGUAAACGAUGUCUACUAGCCGUUGGGGCCUUUGAGGCUUUAGUGGCGCAGCUAACGCGAUAAGUAGACCGCCUGGGGAGUACGGUCGCAAGACUAAAACUCAAAUGAAUUGACGGGGGCCCGCACAAGCGGU